UAUGUUUCUCAUUGGGUCUUUUAU
This 24-nucleotide small nuclear RNA is filed under the name Arabidopsis thaliana (thale cress). Its description in RNAcentral is "snRNA_07762". The record is from RNAcentral. Lineage: Eukaryota; Viridiplantae; Streptophyta; Magnoliopsida; Brassicales; Brassicaceae.